GGGGAAUUUUGGACAAUGGGCGCAAGCCUGAUCCAGCCAUGCCGCGUGAGUGAAGAAGGCCUUCGGGUUGUAAAGCUCUUUCGGUGGGGAAGAAAUCGCAUUCUUUAAUAGAGGGUGUGGAUGACGGUACCCGCACAAGAAGCACCGGCUAACUACGUGCCAGCAGCCGCGGUAAUACGUAGGGUGCGAGCGUUAAUCGGAAUUACUGGGCGUAAAGCGUGCGCAGGCGGUUAUAUAAGUCAGAUGUGAAAUCCCCGGGCUCAACCUGGGAACUGCAUUUGAGACGGUAUGGCUAGAGUGUGGCAGAGGGGGGUGGAAUUCCACGUGUAGCAGUGAAAUGCGUAGAGAUGUGGAGGAACACCGAUGGCGAAGGCAGCCCCCUGGGCCAAGACUGACGCUCAUGCACGAAAGCGUGGGGAGCAAAC
This 425-nucleotide ribosomal RNA is filed under the name uncultured bacterium. RNAcentral describes it as "bacterial SSU rRNA". It matches the Rfam family "Bacterial small subunit ribosomal RNA", at positions 356 to 773 of the family's 1533-position model. The record is from RNAcentral.